GAAUUUUGGACAAUGGGCGAAAGCCUGAUCCAGCAAUGCCGCGUGCAGGAUGAAGGCCUUCGGGUUGUAAACUGCUUUUGUACGGAACGAAAAGCUUUGGGUUAAUACCCUGGAGUCAUGACGGUACCGUCAGAAUAAGCACCGGCUAACUACGUGCCAGCAGCCGCGGUACUACGUAGGGUGCAAGCGUUAAUCGGAAUUACUGGGCGUAAAGCCGUCGCAGGCGGUUUUGUAAGACAGAUGUGAAAUCCCCGGGCUCAACCCGGGAACUGCCUUUGGGAAUGGAAGGCUAGAGUACGGGAGAGGGGGGUGGAAUUCCGCGUGUAGCAGUGAAAUGCGUAGAUAUGCGGAGGAACACCGAUGGCGAAGGCAACCCCCUGGGCCUGUACUGACGCUCAUGCACGAAAGCGUGGGGAGCAAACA
This 423-nucleotide ribosomal RNA is filed under the name uncultured bacterium. Its description in RNAcentral is "partial 16S ribosomal RNA". It matches the Rfam family "Bacterial small subunit ribosomal RNA", at positions 359 to 774 of the family's 1533-position model. The record is from RNAcentral.